This 417-nucleotide ribosomal RNA is filed under the name uncultured prokaryote. Its description in RNAcentral is "bacterial SSU rRNA". It matches the Rfam family "Bacterial small subunit ribosomal RNA", at positions 505 to 918 of the family's 1533-position model. The record is from RNAcentral.
GUGUCAGCCGCCGCGGUAAAACGUAGGACGCAAGCGUUAUCCGGAAUUACUGGGCGUAAAGCGCGCGCAGGCGGGCGUGCAAGUCAGUCGUGAAAGCUCCCGGCUAAACUGGGAGAGGUCGGCUGAGACUGCAGGUCUUGAGGGUGGUAGAGGCGUGUGGAAUUCCGCGUGUAGUGGUGAAAUGCGUAGAUAUGCGGAGGAACACCAGUGGCGAAGGCGGCACGCUGGGCCACACCUGACGCGGAGGCGCGAAAGCAUGGGGAGCGAACGGGAUUAGAAACCCCGGUAGUCCAUGCCGUAAACGAUGUGCACUGGAUGUUCGGACAUCGCAAGAUGUGUGAGUGUCGAAGCAAACGCGAUAAGUGCACCGCCUGGGGAGUACGGUCGCAAGGCUAAAACUUAAAUGAAUUGGCGGGG